Molecule: ribosomal RNA, 140 nt
Filed under: uncultured bacterium
Lineage: Bacteria
Description: partial 16S ribosomal RNA
Rfam family: Bacterial small subunit ribosomal RNA
Source: RNAcentral
UGGGGAAUAUUGGGCAAUGGGCGAAAGCCUGACCCAGCAACGCCGCGUGAAGGAAGAAGGCCUUCGGGUUGUAAACUUCUUUUACCAGGGACGAAGGACGUGACGGUACCUGGAGAAAAAGCAACGGCUAACUACGUGCC